GUUUAUUGGGAAUUAUUUUAUGUAAGGGGUUUUAUUUUAAUUGUUCUUAUGGGGCCCUAUUUAUAGGGAACUUUUAUGUUGAUGAGAGUUUAAUGAAGAAUUAAAGAUUUCUUUCCCCCACAUCUCCUCUUCUUCUCUUCUCCUCCCUUCUCCUUCUUCUCUUCUUCUUCCUCCUUCUCUUCCCCUCUUCUCCUUCUUCCAUUUAAAACUUGGUCCGGCAUCAACUUGGUAUCAGAGCUUUGGAGGGUUUUGCCACUGCUGCCAAAGCCCGAUCCAUCAGGGCCUUAGUUCCUGUGGGCU
Molecule: long non-coding RNA, 300 nt
Filed under: Phoenix dactylifera (date palm)
Lineage: Eukaryota; Viridiplantae; Streptophyta; Magnoliopsida; Arecales; Arecaceae
Description: long non-coding RNA (PDAC_LNC019942)
Source: RNAcentral